Molecule: ribosomal RNA, 352 nt
Filed under: uncultured bacterium
Lineage: Bacteria
Description: bacterial SSU rRNA
Rfam family: Bacterial small subunit ribosomal RNA
Source: RNAcentral
AAUCAACGCUGGCGGCGUGCCUCAGACAUGCAAGUCGAACGCGAAAGUCCCCUUCGGGGGACGAAGUAGAGUGGCGCACGGGUGAGUAACACGUAGGUAAUCUACCUUUGGAUGGGGAAGUAACAAUCGGAAACGAUUGCUAAUACCGCAUAAUGCAGCGGCACCUAAUGGUGACAGUUGUUAAAGCGGGGGAUCGAAAGACCUCGCGUCUAAAGAGGAGCCUGCGGCGGAUUAGCUAGNGGUAAGGUAAUGGCUUACCAAGGCUACGAUCCGUAACCGGCCUGAGAGGGCGGGUCGGUCACACUGACGCUGACAUACGGGUCAGACUCCUACGGGAGGCAGCAGUCGGGAA